UCUGAAUAGAAACAAGAGGUGCCGUACUCAUAGGACGCUCGAUUGCAAGCAAUGACCGUGUUGGACUGUUGAUAGAAACAAGUCAGGUACAAGUCCUCUGUUCUAAGAUGAAAGAAAUUCGCUUAUGAUUAAAAAGGAGUAGAGAACUCCCAGACUGUCCACAGACCCAGAGAGAUGCAUACAGAUGUGGACACACAGUCAUUCAACACCCGUGGAGCCAAACAUUCACGAUGCAGUACCUGCUCCAAAACACCCAAAUCGCACUUGGCCACAGUAUAAACCGAACCAUUAGAAAAGAAUCGUCACCACCACCAGCGAAACUUUCUCCAAUUAACACACCUCUCUCCUGGAAAACCCGUACCAAACGAGAAGCUGGUAAUUGCAAGAGGGCUCUCUAAAUUUGAAGGAGCUCCAGUCGCUCUGACAACUGUCGCUUUGAUUGCUGCCCGGGAGACGAAUCGCCCUCCUUUUAGUGCCAGAAGAAGCAGG
Phascolarctos cinereus (koala) is the source of this 489-nucleotide non-coding RNA. NCBI's taxonomy places the organism in Eukaryota, Metazoa, Chordata, Mammalia, Diprotodontia, Phascolarctidae. The record is from RefSeq and is a predicted model, not a curated record.